UCCUGUGUGUUUGGAGUCCCGGCACGGCCGUAGGUCUGGCACGUUUGCGGUGCCUCGGCGCUGCCAGACCCUGCUCGGCACAUGAGCCGGACAGGGGCUUCUCCAGAGCCCUGCUCUCCCCGCAGGGCUUGUCUCCCUCCCAGCGAGGACAGAAAGCACAAGCAGUGACGGUAUCCACACAGACGGAUGGGGUCUGCUUGGCCUGUGCAGAUGUGUUUUGUAAUUUCUACAUGAUGCCUUUCACCUGUGGGCCUGGGAGGACUUUACAGGUAUUUUGGGCAUUUGGCAAAUAUGUCUGUACCUAUUCCACGGGUUUUGGAACCCUGUUAGAGAUACAACUGCCAGGUAAAGGGGAUUGUUUGGCGGUGGCACAGUAUCGCAGUAAGAACUGCAAAAAUAAUUCAGGACUCCUGAUACUUUUUCUCCUGUCAUAGUCUCCAGGCAACAGCAAAUAUUUCUCCUGAAUACUCUGGAUGAGCAGAUGCCAACGUUGAUUCACAGGAAAAGGAUGUAGCCACGCAAGCCAUAGAAAUGUUGUUUGGGAUGGUAGCCACGGCCCCUAAGGAGACAUUAAGCAAUAUGGAAAAACUGCCAAUGAAGCUCUUAAAGCUCUUGCUGUGUUUGCUAUAAAGAGAUUUCUUGAGAAGCCUUAGCAAUUUUUCUGACCAGACAAACACUUCCAGUGUGCAUGAAAACAGAACCGGAGAUGUUUUGAAAACAUGCAAAAGUUUGUUUCAAAAGCGAGCAGUUGGAAAGAAAUAGAGGGCAGACAGCCUGGGGGAGGCCAGUGGUCCAUGGCCUGGCCUGUGGGGUUAUCAGUGUGUCAUCCAGAUUGGCAGGGCCUUCCAGUGAAUCAUUCAGACCUUCUCUUUUAACUGUGGCAGGGCUGCACUCCCUGUUGUCACACCACCUCUCAGGCAGAGGGGGUUGACUAUUGAUAGCCUUGAAUGUCUCCAGCACCGAGGCGUGCACAGCAUUCCCUUGUCAGGGAGUUCCAAGGCUCAGGCAGUUUUAACUUCUCUGUACUAACUUAUACUGAACCUGAAUGUCUCCUGCAGAGGUUUGUGGCCACUAACUUUUUGUCCUGUUGCCUUUGAUUAACAAGACUGGAGCCCAAUUUCCAGACAAAGUCCUGCAAAAUGGCACGUGUGGUUUUACCUUCCAGCUUUCCUGCCAGCUGUUCUCUUCUCCAGCCUGUUCCCAGGGAAUGUCAUUUUCAAAACAUUUUCACGCUUCUCUUCACAUGCCUGCUAGAAAUAUAGGCGGUCCUAGACCCACCCUGGACUUUCAUUUUAAGCCUGGCUCUGCACUUGGUGAUGCUGUCCUGCCUUUGGUUCUUGAGGUGCUAAAUUUAACCUUCCUGGCCUAAUGUGGGAUGAGGUCAGGAGAAAAGCACCAUGUCAAAUUAUACUGGUUCUGCUAGCAAUACAGUGGGAAUCAGAGUUCCACCUCCUGUCACAGCACUGUGCUGCCAACCAGGGCCCUGCCCCAUUACUGUGGGCCGUCCUGGCUGCCCUCACUCAGCCUGGCCCUGGUGGGUGCCUCAUUAUGCAGAGUUUAUGCCCAGUGGCUUGCAUGUAUGAAUAAGUGUGCAUACCUAAUAUCUAGUAACUAGCUCUGCUAUUAGCACUGUGCUUCACAGCACCCAGGGUCCCUGGGCUGUCACCCCACUGUCAGGCUGGAGCAGCCUGGGGCCCCCACCAGUGCACUCAAAGGAAGCCAUACUCCUGCCCUUUGGUUUUCCUCAUGAAGGAGAGACAUUAUUCCCUAUCCCCAGGGAACAUCAGCUUUGAAACACGGAGCUGAUUUGUUUCCAUUUACCAUUAUCUUGGUUUAAGUAAAUUACAGCUCUUAACAGCGGUCAUAAAAUUAUCUGGCUUCAAAAAAAUUCAGCUGUAGAAUUUGGUCCUGUGGCCUCCCUGAUCAGCUCAUUUCCAAGGGGCAAACAUGCACUGGGAAAAGAAACGAUCUCUCCUUGUUCAUCACAAAUGGUCACCUCCCCAUUGUAUCAGCAGCUGCCUGCCUAGUGCUGCUCAUUGUAGAAAAGUACAGCAAACCUUUCACCAUGCACUGCUUCACCCUUCUGAAUUACUCUGCCAAGGUAUUUAAACCAACCAAGUCAUCCACCAUCCCUCACCAGCGGCCACCACGUCACCAACAUUUUAGAAUCAGGUUCUGCCCUGGAGAGGAGGUUCCUUGGCAAAGCAGUGAUGACCCUCACUGCGGGAUUUUGGAUCACCUCUGGCUAUACUGCAAGUAAAAUAUUUUCCCUUAACAUCUGCCUCAUCUGAAAGGUGAGUGGCAGGCAGGCUGGUUCUAGGAAUCUGGAAGCUGAGUGGCAGGCUGGCUGGGUUUAGGAAUCACUCUUGACCUGUGUUAGGAUUUCAGCAACGAGAAUCUGGUUUCCAAUUGUGGUAUCAUAAGGAAAGAGGAUAGACCAGAUGCUUAGCAUAUCCAAAUAAAAACCCCAAACCAAUAAAAUCUUAUUUUAGUUGCUAAAACAGAAAUUAGGAGUCUAAAUACCCAUAAGGAGUAGAUGAGCUGGACAACCAGCAAUAUCAGACAAGCAUUGUUCUAGCAAUGGUAUCUGCGCUUUAUUUCUGUUGGCGAGUGUAGGUAGUGAUGUGUCUCUUUCUUCAUUCAAAAACUGGCAGAUAGCAAGGCCAAGAUGACAAUUUAUAUAUAAUUAGAAUUUCAAAAUAAUAUAUUAUGCCCCAUUUUCUGGUACAUAGAGAUUAACUGUGAAAAGGCAGAGCUGGCAGAAAUGUGGAUUUCUUCAAUAUUUGCACAUCUGGUUUUGUGCUCCUGCUGGUAGGACUGGGAAUGCCAUGACUUUCCCGCAUGUGGCAAUGAAAAUUGAUCAGGGGUCCAGCCUGCUCCUCUGCUUAAGCUAAGUAAAACACAAAAAGUGGACAAGAAACAUGAAUGCAAAAAAAAGUAAAAUCCAGUCCAGCUCCAGGUAAAGGCAAUGUACCAACUCCUUUUCAGUACUCUCUGACACACACAAUUGGUCCUUGAACUGCUGUCAUUUGGUCUGCUAGUAAAACAAAUCAUAAUGUUCAAUAUGAAGCAAACCAGGGAGAGAGGAAGAAACUGCAAUUCAGCAGUAAGCAUCUGAGCACUGUGGAGCAAGUGCUGGUGGGGACUGGAGCCUGCAAAUCCAGCCAAGGGCCCCUAACUCACAGGCUGUGCUAGAUCUCAUGUGAUUCCCAAAUGCAGUAGGGAAUGAGGGACAGGGAAAAACCUGCUCUAGGAACUGACUGUAUUUCGUCCAGCACUCAACAGCUGUUUUGGGUCCUACUUCGCAAAAGAUUAAAUAAUUAAAAAAAAAGAAAAAAAAAGAAAAAAAAAGAAAAAGAAAAGAGUGAGUGAAAUUGAGAUGGGGAAAAGAAAGCGUCCCAAAUAAACAUGUUUUUGAUGGAGGAACUGGGUUUUUGUACCCUAGCACUGUUUGUACUUUCAGAUUGUCAGCAAUCUGUAGCGUGCUGAGCAGAGGACAGUGUGGUGGAAAUACCUAUGAAGCAGUGAGAGCCUUAUCAAGGUACUGUACCAGGAAAUACAGCGCUUUCUUUCCUACUUCAUGCACGAUACUGUGAUUAAAACCAACAGCACGCCUCAUCAUAACAUGUGCCUUAUCAGCCCCACCAUCUGAUGACAGCAGCAGCCCUCGGGAGAGCAGGCUGACAUCAUCCAAAACCUCAGGAGCUCAAGACCCAACAUAGAUUUACCACACCCCAGUUAUUUCAGACCUGGAUAGCAGCAUGGAAAAAGAUUACCAGUCAUCUGGAGCUGCUUCCUUAUGCCUUGGACAAAAGAAGAUCAUAUGGGACCACAUUCAUUCAAGAGCUGCCUUUGUGUUUGUACAGAACCCAGCAUGAGUGAGCCUACUCCUUCUUCCAGUUCGCCCUGCUACAAAAUUGUUCUUAAAAACACCCUCUGCUUUUAAUGUUUGGGUUUUGGUUGGUUUGUUUUUAGCUGCAAUGCAAGCUUUCAGAGGGAGAUCAGGCCAGAUUUAAAUGCUGAAUGCAUGCAUAGCUGCAAAGCAGGGCGACCCAGCACGGCUGCGGAGUGUCCAUUAGAGCCCCGGGCCAUGCGGGCUCUGCGGGGCCCCUCUGCCUGCUGGCACCCCGGCCAGCGGCGCUCCGGGCAUUUUGGGGUGUCCCCGCACCUGUCACAUGGAUUUGGGGGCUGCUUUGCCCAAGAGACCCUCUCUCGCUGGGCACGCUCGCUGCUGCCACAAACUCUGCGGCUCCCGGCCCUCCAUCACCCCGCCAGGAUGGCACCCAUGGGCACCGGCUCCUUCGGCAGCCCGGGCAGGCUGAGAACACCCAGCCGAAGGAAAAUACACGGCCUUCCGUGUUACUGCCUCCGUGAGGGCUUGGCUCGAGGGAUGGGCUGCAAAGUCUGGUGGAAUUAAGACUUGCCUUUUAAGAUAGAGCAUUAGAUAAAUCCAGCUGUGUUGUGGGACUGCUGGAAGCCUCCCCGAACAAGUGUGGGGAACUCGUAGUGGUUUUUGAGGCAUAGCGCUAUUGUCUAUUUUGUUGAACGUAUUUCUUUGUCUUGAUGAACUUUAAGGAGCACUGAGAACACAAUGUGCCAUAGGGGAAGGAGUUACAGAAAGACAUGAUUAGAAAAUGGAACAAUUAAAAAAAUUCUUCUCCUACAAUGUUUUCUAAAAUAUUCCUGUUCAGAAGCACACUUGCUUUUUUCUGCCUGAUAGACCCCGGGCUCUUACCCGGCUCUGCUACAUUACUCAGUUAGUGCUUUAGUUGAUUUGCUCUCAUCGUUGCUAAAAAUACUGUAAAAACCCACUUUUAAAUAAAGGACACAGUGAAAGGUU
Long non-coding RNA from Passer montanus (Eurasian tree sparrow), 4840 nucleotides. RefSeq lists it as uncharacterized. The record is from RefSeq and is a predicted model, not a curated record. NCBI's taxonomy places the organism in Eukaryota, Metazoa, Chordata, Aves, Passeriformes, Passeridae. The transcript has 3 exons.